GACGAACGCUGGCGGCGUGCUUAGCACAUGCAAGUCGAACGGAAAGGCCUUUUCGGAGGUACUCGAGUGGCGAACGGGUGAGUAACACGUGGGUGAUCUGCCCUGCACUCUGGGAUAAGCCUGGGAAACUGGGUCUAAUACCGGAUAGGACCGCACUUUAGUGUGUGUGGUGGAAAGUUUUUUCGGUGUAGGAUGAGCCCGCGGCCUAUCAGCUUGUUGGUGGGGUAAUGGCCUACCAAGGCGGCGACGGGUAGCCGGACUGAGAGGUUGGUCGGCCACAUUGGGACUGAGGUACGGCCCAGACUCCUACGGGAGGCAGCAGUGGGGAAUAUUGCACAAUGGGCGCAAGCCUGAUGCAGCGACGCCGCGUGGGGGAUGACGGCCUUCGGGUUGUAAACUCCUUUCGCCAGGGACGAAGCGUUUUGUGACGGUACCUGGAGAAGAAGCACCGGCUAACUACGUG
Molecule: ribosomal RNA, 463 nt
Filed under: uncultured bacterium
Lineage: Bacteria
Description: partial 16S ribosomal RNA
Rfam family: Bacterial small subunit ribosomal RNA
Source: RNAcentral